This is a non-coding RNA of Drosophila melanogaster (fruit fly), 1680 nucleotides long. NCBI's taxonomy places the organism in Eukaryota, Metazoa, Arthropoda, Insecta, Diptera, Drosophilidae. The record is from Ensembl.
CCUGCAAAGGUAAUUUCGUUUGUUCAGGAUUUCCGGAUGCAACUAUAACUUUAGGCUUAAACGUUGUGUGUGUCUCGAAAUAAAUUGUCAGGAGGCAGUUAUCAGUAGUUGAUCAUUGCGCAGGAACAAAUCAUAACUGGAUCUGGGCAGGACGCUUGCGUUGGAAUAUAGAGUCGAUGGUGGAGAAGACGUCGCUGGACUUCUUGGCGGCGUCCACCUUGAAGUGCAGACCCCUCAGGCCGUAGUAGUCGACCAGCGGCUUUGUCUGCUUGUGAUAUGCUUCCAGUCGCUUCUUCAGAGCCUCGGCGUUGUCAUCGCUGCGACGGAUUAGGGGCUCUCCAGUGACCUGCAAGUACACAAGGUCUGCUUUCAUUUAGAGUUCUUGGAUAGCGUCCUAUAGAGAUACUUACAUCGUCCGUCAUUGGCUUCUUUGGAGGGGCAAACUCUUCGUGAUACGAACGCCCGCUGGCCUGGUGGAUCAAGCGGCCAGUGAUGCGCCUCACCAACAGACUGUCGUCGAUGGCAAACUCGAUGACAGCAUCCAAGUUGGUUUUCCUCUUGUCCAGCAAUGUGUCGAGCUGCAAAGUGCGUUUCGAACGGAUUAUAACCUAAAGUCCAAAGUGCUUCACACGUGUGGCUACCUUCUCAGCUUGAACGACAGUCCUGGGGAAUCCGUCCAGGAGGAAUCCAUUCUUGCACUCGGGCUUGUCCAGGUUGGAGUCGAUCAUGUCCACGACCAGGUCGUCGGAGACCAGUUUGCCGGCAUCCAUGACCUUCUUCAACUCGGCUCCCAGCUUCGAACCGGAUGAAAUCUCCGCCCGCAGCAUGUCGCCGGUCGACAGGUGGCACACGCAGAACUUCUCCUUCAGCAGGGGAGCCUGAAAUGGGCAUAAUUAAAAACAUUGAUAAGUUUCAGUUAGAGCUAAUCAAUUAAUCAAUUUAGCACCAUAUCGGAAGGUAAGCAAGGUAACCAAUCGGCUAGAUAAGAUGCAUUUCUUGAGGCCAGGAAUGUUCUGGUAGCCUUUUAAUAGAUGGUCUGCAUAAUACCCAAUCGAUUGCCUAAAGGUGUUCCACUUAAUUCGCCACAUCUCGCCAAGGCUUUGAUUUGAUUCAGGGUCAAGAGAAAGACACUGCUUGACGCAUAUGUACAUACUUGGCACGUAGAUACAUACAUAUACAUUUCCAUGUACACAUCGUCUUAUAUAACUUCACCAGUUUUAAUUCUCUUCCAAGAGAAUUAACGAGCUUCACCGAUUAUUUGCAAACAAAAACCGCGCACUUGAACACGUUGUAUUUAUUUAUAGACUACAUGGCGUCCGUGUCACAAAAAACACAUCAUUAUGUAAUUUUGACCCACCUGCGUUCCUUUGCCGGAACCCGGCGGCCCCAGGAGAAUGGCGUUGAUCCCGAUGUUCUCAGGCUCAUAUCGCUCCACUGGUACUGCUGCAUUCGGCGCCAUCGUUAACUACGUAUGCUCGACUGAUUAUUCGGGACUGCUCCUAAUUCAUAGCCAAACGGAGCCAGAAAUGAAGGUUAAAGAUAAGAAACAAGAGGCGAAAUCAUUCACACGAAACACCCUGUGCGGCAUAUUCCCACUCUGUUGCUUCUCGCCUAUCGAUAACAUUCUUACAUCGUUUUGAUAUUUUAAAUGGUGAUAGGUGUGGGCUGUCUUUUAUCUUU